AUGACGUCCCUGUCGCGGAUGCUCUCCCUGGCCGGCCCAAUGCAGCCGUCGGGGCCUCGCCGGAUUUCGAGGACACAGACCGCCGUCAACCUCGGCGAGCCCAUCUUCGACAGUGAGGUGGUGCUGUCGUCGCUCGUGGAGAUCGCGCCAAUCCUCCGUGUCACCAAAGAGAUUGGGUAA
RNAcentral lists this ribosomal RNA (180 nucleotides) under Triticum aestivum (bread wheat). Its description in RNAcentral is "partial small subunit ribosomal RNA". Lineage: Eukaryota; Viridiplantae; Streptophyta; Magnoliopsida; Poales; Poaceae. The record is from RNAcentral.